RNAcentral lists this unclassified non-coding RNA (499 nucleotides) under Hevea brasiliensis (rubber tree). Lineage: Eukaryota; Viridiplantae; Streptophyta; Magnoliopsida; Malpighiales; Euphorbiaceae. The record is from RNAcentral.
CAAAGUGGGAUCUUUGAGAGAGUGAAUGUAGGCUAGUUAAAGCCGAACCACUAUAAAAAUUCCAGUGUUCAUUUUCUCAACCCUUGCUCUUUACAUUUAUGCAAUUUAGCUUUAUGAUUGAUAUACUUUUGCUGAUAUGAAAAUUGAUAUCAUAUGCUGUUAAUCUUGCUGCUAUCUGAGAAAAAUAGUUUACUGCAAAAUCUGCUGAUAUCUGAUAUAUUCUGUUGGUUAUCUGUUGUGCUGUCAGAUAGGAUAUCUGGUAUACUGCUCUAGUUGCUGUGAUAAAAACGUAUUCAGUUUACUGAUAUAUUUACUGAAUGCUUAUAUAGUCUGUUAUAUCAGUAUACUGAUUGCAUACAGGCUAACCUUGAAUUAAAUUGUCAAUAGAGUUGUAUUGUUCAUUUUUUAUGUUAGUCAAUUGAGUUGAACCUAGCUGCAAUUUUCAAAGGUUUUGAGCAAGAACCGAAAAUUAUUUUUAAAGUCCAAUUCACCCCCCUCU